UCCCAAGAAACGAGCUCUCGUUAAGUCUUGCCACAGAUGUUUCUAAUGAAAGCUCGGAGAUAAGCCUUUGCGCUGCUACUAAAUCUACAAGAAUAACCUCAGAGCAAGCUUCUUCCAGCAGCAAACACGUUUCUAAUAACGUCUCUCAAGUGAUAUUUGGCUCAAAGUACCUUCACUCCGUUCAAGAAAUACUAUCUCAUUUCGCCACAUACUCCCUCAACGGCAUAGAGACUAAUCCUCAAUGCUACUUUUCUUCUCGAGGAACCGAGUCAGAGGGUACAAACUCAGCCUUUGUCUCAUGUUAUGAGAAUCUAAACGAGUUUCUUGAUGGCGGUUCGCAAAGAAGAGCAUUAGAAGCAAAGAAAACCCAUCUCUUGGAUCUUCUUCAAAUGGUAUAAUAAUAUAUAUUAACACAUUUUUACAUAAACCAAGAAAUUAUUUACUAAUUACUGAAAGUUUUUUCGAGUUGAUUUUUGUCUUCAGGUGGAUGAUCGAUAUAGUCAUUGCGUUGACGAGAUUCAUACGGUUGUAUCAGCCUUCCAUGCAGCAACCGAGUUAGAUCCUCAGCUACACACCCGGUUUGCACUCCAAACCGUCUCCUUCUUAUACAAGAACCUGAGAGAGAGAAUCAGCAAGAAGAUACUCAUGAUGGGAACGGUUUUGGAGAGAGGCAAAGAGAAGUCUCAAGAAGACUCAAUCUUCCACCAGCAUUGCCUUCUUCAGCAGCUAAAACGUAAGAACCAUCAGAUUUGGAGACCGCAACGAGGCUUGCCUGAGAAAUCAGUCUCGGUUCUACGUACAUGGAUGUUCCAAAACUUUCUUCACCCGUAAGAAUCCUUUUAACUCUUUAUUAAGCCUACUUUUUGAUGACAUUGGUAGCUAAGCAAAUGAUAUUAACGUAUUCUCUUUGAGUACAGUUACCCGAAAGAUUCAGAGAAACAUCUUCUUGCUAUACGUAGUGGAUUGACAAGAAGUCAGGUAUGUUUUGACUUUAGACGAACGUAUGUUUUGUUACUCAAAUCCAAAUAGCAAGUGACAUAAGUGUCUCGUUUCUUGUGUUUGUGUGUGAUGAAAGGUAUCAAACUGGUUUAUAAAUGCGAGGGUAAGGCUAUGGAAGCCCAUGAUAGAAGACAUGUACGCAGAAAUGAACAAGAGGAAGCUGAGUAACACUCCCCUUCAAGGUGGCAAUGGAGGAAGUUUUAUUAGAGUGCCAAAGUCUGUAAUGAUGAGCCAAGAAAGGGACAAAAUAAGAGAAUGAUUGUGUUACAACUUUGUUUACGCAAUCGUUACAACUUUUACCACGUAUUAUGAUUGUUUUGACUUUUUGUUAUAAUUGUAUAUACUGCUUGUUGUAUCUCAUAUAUUGCUGUUUUGUAUUUGCAUCACUUGUUACUGACUGUUACCAACAUAUUAUCGUCUUAAAUUUAACAAGUUCUUGAUGUUAAAAUACUUGUGAAUACGACCAAAUACUUGUGAAACACGUAAGAGUAGGUUUGCAAGUGGAACCAUAUAUAGGAGAUGAAGAAGAAAAAAAACAGUUUCAAAACACCAAACGAACACAAGACAAGAAGCAAGCCACCACUAAAUUAGUACGAGAGUGCGGAUAAAACACCAAACAACACAACACAAAAAACAAUCUAUUGUAGCCUAGACAUCAUCAUCCAGUUCCUGCCAUUCAUGAAAUAAAACAAAUGGUUUGAACAUAUGAUUUAUUUAAUAAAAUGUAUCAAACUUGACUUACCUUUUCAAAACGGGCAAGUUUCUCUUCAAGACGCUUAUCCUCCUCAUCAAAAAAUCUGUGAACUCUGUACCAAUCCUCUCUUCGCUUGAAAACAUCUGAAACAUCCAUUCAUUGGAAACAGGAAAGCAAAAUAGUUACAUUCUAGAGAAUUAAUGUUGGAGACAUAAUUCAAAAAUACCAUACUUAUGUUAGCUUUGACGAACCAUCCACCAAUGAACGCUAAACCAAGAACUAAUUUGUUCUGCUCCUCCCAAGCAUGCUUGACCCUUGAGGACAGGGGAGAAGAAGCUAUGGAUGAGAUCCCUCUCCGACCAUACUGCAGAUCUCGACAGACACAGACAAUACUACAAUCAUGAAUAGAGAAAUAUAGAGGGAGGAUCCGGAAUAAAAAGAAUAAUUCUUAGCUUAACCUUGGCCAAAACUGUUUGCGAGUGCUUCAUCAUCAUCUUUUGUUCCGUUGAGUGCUUCCUUUGGGUGUAAAAUUAGGGCUUCGCUUUCCUGUGUUAGUUUAUUUACUUGUGGCCCAAAUCAAAGCACUACCCGUGAAUCGAUUUUUGUAAUAAAUAUAUCUUCUAUGUAUUUUAUAACUCUACAAAUUGACCAUGUUUGUUCUUUUACGUUUUUAUAAAAUUUCUUUUAAAAAACUCUGUUUUCUUUUUUUUUUUACUAAAAAAAAAAUCUGUUUUCUUAGCAAAUUACUUUCAUAAGUUAAUGAAAAUUUGGUAAAGCCAUUCACAAAUACUACGUUGUUAAACGGAUUUUCUUAUUUUAAUUUUAAUUUUAACGAUUUUAACUACUUUUUAAAAAAUGCGUGUUUCAAUUUUUUCUUGUUAUGAAUUCAUUACUUAAUAAUGUUCAAGUGAUCUGUAAGUGUAUUUUUGCUAUUUUUUACCUUUAAACUGAUUGUAGCCUUGAUCAAAAAAAAAAUGAUUGUAGCCAACUAAGAUUCUGAAUCCAAAACCGGCUCAUUCUACAAAAAUAGCAUAAAUACUUCUCUUAUUGCUAAUGCUCAAGAUGAUCUCGAUAUCCCCAAGUCUCUUGCAAAGAAGGUGCCUGCGGUUGAGGCACCAAGUGCUGAAGAUCAUCACAGUGGGAACAAUAUUCAUCAGACUAUGAGCCAGUGAGACGAAUGUUCCAAAACUCUCUUCACCCGUAAGAAAAAUCUCUUAUUGACCCAAGGAGCAAGUGUUAUAAUAAGUGUAUCUUGUUUGUUGUGUUUGUGUGUGAUGAAAGGUAUCAAACUGGUUUAAAUGCGAGGGUAAGGCUAUGGAAGCCGAUGAUAGAAGGACAUGUACGCAGAAAUGAACAAGAGGAAGCUGAGUAACACUCAUCUUCAAGGUGGCAAUGGAGGAAGUCUUAUUAGAGUGCCAAAGUCUGUAAUGAUGAGCCAAGAAAGGGACAAAAUAAGAGAAUGAUUGUGUUACAACUUUGUUUACGCAAAAUCGCUACGUAUUAAGAUUGUUUUUGACUUUUUUGUUAUAAUUUUUUUUUUGGGUGUAAAUGUUAAAUUCAUACCAAAGGCUUUUUGUUUUUUACAGAGUUGUUGCUUAGCAACUUAUUACAUUAGAAGGGGGAUAAAAGACAUUUGCUGUUAUAAUUGUAAUUGUAUAUACAGCUUGUUCUUUUAUCUCAUAGUAUAUUUGCUGUUUUGUAAUUUGCAUCAUGUGUUAUCAACUUAUCAUCGUCUAAAAAUGUAACAAGUUCUUGAUUGUCUUCGGCCAAACUUACGAAACACAGCGGUUUAAUGUCUGUUUUACGCGUUUUACGAAAUCAAAGCUAUGUAGUUCUGCUCCUUGGAGGUUUGCAAUUGCUUGGGAGGUUCUCUGUUGUGGUCAGCAUUGGAGCUUUGUGUCAUCUGUGGUCAGCAUUGGUCAGCAUCUGUGUCAUCUAAAUUGAAAUUUGAGUGUCUUUUCCAUCUAGUGACAGGUUGUGUGAGAAAAAAGCUUAUUGCUUAGAUUAUACAUUUCUCUAAAUGAAAGCUUGAGGACUUUUGUGUUUCAGCUUAGAUAGGAUUUCACCAACAAUGCCAAAUCUGCUAUUGCUUCUAUAAGAGGAUUGUCAGAGCUACUAAAUCAUCUGGUCGGGCGGACCUCACACUUCUAUUCCCUGCAGCGGCUCAGGAAGCUAAACAUUUCAGAGCACAAAACCUAAUCUUAAGGGUGGAAAUUUCAUUUUCUACAAAACAAUUCUCCUCUAGCCACAAUCUAAGCGCCACAUAUAACAGAAAUAUUUUAUAAGACACAACCAUGAAGUAGUUAUUACAGUGAUUGGCAGAUAAUGUGUUCAUCAACGGCUGCAAACAUAGACAAAACAGAAACAAACAGACGCAACCAAUUACCGUCACUUGGUUUUCUCUUUAAGAGAGGAAAUCCACUUGCCCCUCCUGGCCUCCAUUUUUUCCAGACGUUGGAGACCUUUAACGAAGCGCUGAAAUUAAAAUGAGAAGAAGACUUAUAUAGGAAAGAAAGAAGAAGAAAAAGAUUUUAACCCAAUCCCUUGAGGUUAUUUACCUCUUCAUAUUCCCGGAGCCCCUUAGAGACGGGGCUUGUUGUCACACCACCUGACGAAGACGGUUUUUAGUGAACCCAAAAAAUCUAUAUAUAUAUAUAUAUAUAUAUAAAAAUAUUACAAACCACACACCGAGCAGGAAUCCAGCACCACCAAAGACCGCUGUGAAGCAGUAUCGAUAAACUUUCGAGACAGCUAACAAACAAAAAGUUGAUUCCAACGAGAAUUAGAAACAAAAAAUUUGACUUGAGGAGAGAUAUUGAUAUGCCAAUAAAUAAUGAGAUACCUUUCUCACUCACGGAUGAAAAAUCACGACACUGCAGCCUAGCUCCCCUUGCGGCAAGACUGCAUAAUUUAUUCAUUCAACCUCAGUGAACAGAGACAAAAGCAAAAUAAAUAUCAAACACACCCAGAGACAAAGAUCUCUCUGGAUUACCUUAGCCAAGGUGUUUCCCAGGAACGGCAACAUCUUCUUUUGUCCUCGUCGAAUUGGAGAGCCUAGGGUUUUCAAGAUUAGGGAUCUUAGUUCCAAAUUUAUUAUUAAAAAGUGUUACUUCCCUGCUACACACGGCUCAAAUCUAUUAGGAUUUUUUUUAAAUAUUAUUGGACAAAAACACAUAGGCAAUAAUUAGUGCUGGGUUUGCGGGUCAACCCGCCCUGACCCGCUGCGGAUUGAAUCAUUUUUUUGAUUCAAAAAAUCGACCCGCAUAACUCACAAACAAAAAAAUUUCUACCCGCAAAAACCCACGGGUAACCCGCUUAACCCGCGGGUAAUAUUAAUUAUAUUAAUUAUAUUAAAAAUAAUUAUUUUAAUUAAAAAUAAUUAUUAUAUAGUUAAAAAAUAUUAUUUUUAAAAAAUUAUAUUAAAAAUUCAUUUCUCACUUUAAAUCUCUCUUGGGCCAUUUGGGCCUAUUAAAAAAUCAGAUUCAAUUCCCACUUUUUUUUUUCCUUUGGGCCAUUGGGUCCAAGUUAAAAUAAUUUUUUUUCAACUAUUCUUAAUUAUUAUUUUUUUCUUUUCUUAAUAUAAUUUAAGCAUUCAUAAAAAUAAUUGAAUUUUUUUAUUGAAAAGUAUAAAUCUUUAUUAAAAGUAUAUAAUUUUUUAAUUAAAAUAUUAACCCCAUAAUAAAAUUAAUUUAUCAGAGUUAUACCAACUUAAUUCAUUAAAAAAAUAAAGUUUAAUUUUUUUUAACAUAAAUAGUCAUUUAAAAUGAAAUACGAUAAAUAAAGAUAAAAAAUUUAAUUCUUUUAUAAAAUAAAGCACAAAUAUAUGAAAAUGUGACAUUUACUAAAUAUUUGUCAAUUGAAAAAAAAAACAAAAAUAAACCUGCGCUUUGAAAGCGCGGGUCAAAAUCUAGUAGAGUAUUACAAUAACAACAAUAUAAAGAGUUUUACCAAAAGAACAAAAAAUAUAAAGAGUAUUAUGAUGGUUGAGCAGAGCUGCAGGUCCUUGUCAUCUUCUUUCAUGUUUGUUCUCUCCAUUUAUAGGAAAUAUGUCAUAGAAUGUACUUAAAAUAAAAUUGAGUAAAACAGAGAAAAUUUGAUAUCUAGAUUUGUAUUAAUAAGCCAUAGAAAACGUUAUAUUGAUUAUGAUUGUACAUGGAUAAACGUAAUGUAUGUAAACGUAAAUUUUAUAUCAUUGCUGUAGGAAAAAAACCGUAAGAUUUAUAACAAUGAAACACUUACUUCUUCCUUUUUGAUAAUGUGAUGUAGCUCCUUAUUUUGUAAUUCAACCACAAAUGAAAAGUAAAUAUAUAAUUUUUUUUUCUUCGGGAAGCACCAUGGUAUAAAUUUUGUUUGUCAGAUAUAUAACGUAGAAAAGAAAGCAGAGUAGGUUUGCAACAUAUAUAUAUAGGAUGGAGAUGAAGAAGAAAAAAAAACAGUUUCAAAACACCAAACUAACACAAGACCAGAAGCAAGCCACUAUUAAAUUAGUACGAGAGUGCGGAAAAAACACCAAACAAGGCAACACAAAAGACAAUCAAUUGUCGCCUAGACAUUAUCAUCCAGUUCCUGCCAUUCAUGAAAUAAAACAAAUGUGGUUUGAACAUAUGAUUUAUUUAAUAAAAUGUAUCAAACUUGAAUUACCUUUUCAUUACGGGCACGUCAAGACGCUUCUUCUCAUCAUCAAAAAAUCUGUGUACUCUAUACCAAUCCUCUCUUCUCUUUAAAAGAUCUGAAAGAUACAUUCAUUGGAAACAGGAAAGAAAAAUAGUUACCUUCUAGAGAAUUAGUGUUGGAAACAUCUAUAAAAUUAAUUCAAAAAACCAUACUUAUGGAAGCUUUGACGAACCAUCCACCAAAGAACGCUAAACCAAGAACUAAUCCGUCCUGCUCCUCCCAAGCAUGCUUGACCCUCGUGGACAUGGGGGAAGAGGCGAUGGAUGAGAUCCCUUUCCGACAAUACUGCAUAUCUCGACGAAACAGACAAGACUACAAUCACGAAUACAGAGAAAUCGAGAGGGAGAGAUCCGGAAUAAAAUAUGAUUCUUAGCUUAACCUUGGCCAAAAUCAUUUGCGCGUGCUUCAUCAUCAUCUUUUGUUCCGCUGAGUGCUUCCUUUGGGUGUAAAAUUAGGGCUUCUGCUUUCCUUUGUUAGUUUAUUUACUUGUGGCCCAAAUCAAAGCACUACUCGUGUUUCCUUGAAUGAUUUGAAUCAAUUUUUGUAAUAAAUAUAUCUUCUAUGUAUUUUAUAAUUCUACAAAUUGAUCAUGUUUUUUUUUUAAGAAAAAAAUCUCUGUUUUCUUAUCAUAUUAUUUUCAAAAAAAAAUUAUAUUGCUAAUUUGUUUUCAUAAGGUAAUGAAAAUUGAAUCUUGAGGGUGGUAAGUUCAUUUUCCACAGAACAGUUCUCCUCUAGCCCCAACCCGAAAAUGCUAUAUCAUAUCGCUCUUUAGAUUCUCAUAUACCGCAGGUCAUCCGUGAGACCAACUCAUGAUUGGCCGAUAAAGCAGAAGCUCUUCACUUUGGAUGUUAUGUACUUUCCCGACAAACCGAAUCCUGAUAACUGUCCUCAAGAUGUGUAUGGCUCUCUUGUUGAUGCUGUAGGACAUGUUUCAGACAUGUCUAAUAAGUCUUCCAAGUUAUAUUUGGUUCAACGUACAACAUGUGGAUCGUCUUGGAGAAAAUAGUGAGUUUCAUGCAUAUCCAUACGUAGAAGGUGUUGUUGGUCUUAGUGAACCAAUAAUAUCUACAAUCGGUGGCAAAGAAGAUUUCCCAAGAAACGAACUCUCGUUAAGUCUUGCCACAGAUGUUUCUGAUGAGUGCUCGGAGACAAGUCUUUGUGCUGCUUAAAUCUACUAGAGGAACCUCAGAGCAAGCUUCUUCCAGCAGCAAACACGUUUCUAAUAACGUCUCUCAAGUGAUAUUUGGCUCAAAGUACCUUCACUCCGUUCAAGAAAUACUAUCUCAUUUCGCCACAUACUCCCUCAACGGCAUAGAGACUAAUCCUCAAUGCUACUUUUCUUCUCGAGGAACCGAGUCAGAGGGUACAAACUCAGCCUUUGUCUCAUGUUAUGAGAAUCUAAACGAGUUUCUUGAUGGCGGUUCGCAAAGAAGAGCAUUAGAAGCAAAGAAAACCCAUCUCUUGGAUCUUCUUCAAAUGGUAUAAUAAUAUAUAUUAACACAUUUUUACAUAAACUAAGAAAUUAUUUACUAAUUACUGAAAGUUUUUUCGAGUUGAUUUUUGUCUUCAGGUGGAUGAUCGAUAUAGUCAUUGCGUUGACGAGAUUCAUACGGUUGUAUCAGCCUUCCAUGCAGCAACCGAGUUAGAUCCUCAGCUACACACCCGGUUUGCACUCCAAACCGUCUCCUUCUUAUACAAGAACCUGAGAGAGAGAAUCAGCAAGAAGAUACUCAUGAUGGGAACGGUUUUGGAGAGAGGCAAAGAGAAGUCUCAAGAAGACUCAAUCUUCCACCAGCAUUGCCUUCUUCAGCAGCUAAAACGUAAGAACCAUCAGAUUUGGAGACCGCAACGAGGCUUGCCUGAGAAAUCAGUCUCGGUUCUACGUACAUGGAUGUUCCAAAACUUUCUUCACCCGUAAGAAUCCUUUUAAAUCUUUAUUAAGCCUACUUUUUGAUGAUAUUGGUAGCUAAGCAAAUGAUAUUAAUGUAUUCUCUUUGACUACAGCUACCCGAAAGAUUCAGAGAAACAUCUUCUUGCUAUACGUAGUGGAUUGACAAGAAGUCAGGUAUGUUUUGACUUUAGACGCACGUAUGUUUUGUUACUCAAAUCCAAAUAGCAAGUGACAUAAGUGUCUCGUUUCUUGUGUUUGUGUGUGAUGAAAGGUAUCAAACUGGUUUAUAAAUGCGAGGGUAAGGCUAUGGAAGCCCAUGAUAGAAGACAUGUACGCAGAAAUGAACAAGAGGAAGCUGAGUAACACUCCCCUUCAAGGUGGCAAUGGAGGAAGUUUUAUUAGAGUGCCAAAGUCUGUAAUGAUGAGCCAAGAAAGGGACAAAAUAAGAGAAUGAUUGUGUUACAACUUUGUUUACGCAAUCGUUACAACUUUUACCACGUAUUAUGAUUGUUUUGACUUUUUGUUAUAAUUGUAUAUACUGCUUGUUGUAUCUCAUAUAUUGCUGUUUUGUAUUUGCAUCACUUGUUACUGACUGUUACCAACAUAUUAUCGUCUUAAAUUUAACAAGUUCUUGAUGUUAAAAUACUUGUGAAUACGACCAAAUACUUGUGAAACACGUAAGAGUAGGUUUGCAAGUGGAACCAUAUAUAGGAGAUGAAGAAGAAAAAAAACAGUUUCAAAACACCAAACGAACACAAGACAAGAAGCAAGCCACCACUAAAUUAGUACGAGAGUGCGGAUAAAACACCAAACAACACAACACAAAAAACAAUCAAUUGUAGCCUAGACAUCAUCAUCCAGUUCCUGCCAUUCAUGAAAUAAAACAAAAUGGUUUGAACAUAUGAUUUAUUUAAUAAAAUGUAUCAAACUUGACUUACCUUUUCAUUACGGGCACGUUUCUCUUCAAGACGCUUCUUCUCAUCAUCAACAAAUUUGUGAACUCUGUACCAAUCCUCUCUUCGCUUGAAAACAUCUGAAACAUCCAUUCAUUGGAAACAGGAAAGCAAAAUAGUUACAUUCUAGAGAAUUAAUGUUGGCGACAUAAUUCAAAGAACCAUACUUAUGUUAGCUUUGACGAACCAUCCACCAAUGAACGCUAAACCAAGAACUAAUUUGUUCUGCUCCUCCCAAGCAUGCUUGACCCUUGAGGACAGAGGAGAAGAAGCUAUGGAUGAGAUCCCUUUCCGAAAAUACUGCAGAUCUCGACAGACACAGACAAUACUACAAUCAUGAAUAGAGAAAUAGAGAGGGAGGAUCCGGAAUAAAAAGAAUAAUUCUUAGCUUAACCUUGGCCAAAAUCGUUUGCGAGUGCUUCAUCAUCAUCUUUUGUUCCGCUGUGUCCUUCCUUUGGGUGUAAAAUUAGGGUUUCUGCUUUCCUUUUUUAUUUUUAUUUACUUGUGGCCCAAAUCAAAGCAGUAUCUCUUAAAUUUAUUGAAUUGAUUUUGAUAAAUAUAUCCUCUUAUGUAUUUUAACUCUAUAAAUUGAUCAUGUUUGUUCUUUUUCGUAUUUAUAAAAUUUCUUUUAAAAAAACUCUGUUUUUUUUUUUUAACUAAAAAAAACUCUGUUUUCUUAGCAAAUUAUUUUCAUAAGUUAAUGAAAAUUUAGUAAAGCCAUUCACAAAUACUAAUUUGUUAGCCGGAUUUUCUUAUUUUAAUUUUAAUUUUAACUACUUUUUUUUUAAAUGCGUCUUUCAAUUUUUUCUUUUGAUUGCUAGGUUAAGAAAUAUGAUAUAUAUAAUGCUUUGGUUUACCAAUGGUCUGAUUCAAUUAAAAUCAAUACAAAACCAACAUUUAGAGAACCGGGUCGUUACAGUAAGGCUAUGGAAGCCGAUGAUAGAAGGACAUGUACGCAGAAAUGAACAAGAGGAAGCUGAGUAACACUCACCUUCAAGGUGGCAAUGGAGGAAGUCUUAUUAGAGUGCCAAAGUCUGUAAUGAUGAGCCAAGAAAGGGACAAAAUAAGAGAAUGAUUGUGUUACAACUUUGUUUACGCAAAAUCGCUACGUAUUAAGAUUGUUUUUUGACUUUUUUGUUAUAAUUUUUUUUUUGGGUGUAAAUGUUAAAUUCAUACCAAAGGCUUUUUGUUUUUUACAGAGUUGUUGCUUAGCAACUUAUUACAUUAGAAGGGGGAUAAAAGACAUUUGCUGUUAUAAUUGUAAUUGUAUAUACAGCUUGUUCUUUUAUCUCAUAGUAUAUUUGCUGUUUUGUAAUUUGCAUCAUGUGUUAUCAACUUAUCAUCGUCUAAAAAUGUAACAAGUUCUUGAUUGUCUUCGGCCAAACUUACGAAACACAGCGGUUUAAUGUCUGUUUUACGCGUUUUACGAAAUCAAAGCUAUGUAGUUCUGCUCCUUGGAGGUUUGCAAUUGCUUGGGAGGUUCUCUGUUGUGGUCAGCAUUGGAGCUUUGUGUCAUCUGUGGUCAGCAUUGGUCAGCAUCUGUGUCAUCUAAAUUGAAAUUUGAGUGUCUUUUCCAUCUAGUGACAGGUUGUGUGAGAAAAAAGCUUAUUGCUUAGAUUAUACAUUUCUCUAAAUGAAAGCUUGAGGACUUUUGUGUUUCAGCUUAGAUAGGAUUUCACCAACAAUGCCAAAUCUGCUAUUGCUUCUAUAAGAGGAUUGUCAGAGCUACUAAAUCAUCUGGUCGGGCGGACCUCACACUUCUAUUCCCUGCAGCGGCUCAGGAAGCUAAACAUUUCAGAGCACAAAACCUAAUCUUAAGGGUGGAAAUUUCAUUUUCUACAAAACAAUUCUCCUCUAGCCACAAUCUAAGCGCCACAUAUAACAGAAAUAUUUUAUAAGACACAACCAUGAAGUAGUUAUUACAGUGAUUGGCAGAUAAUGUGUUCAUCAACGGCUGCAAACAUAGACAAAACAGAAACAAACAGACGCAACCAAUUACCGUCACUUGGUUUUCUCUUUAAGAGAGGAAAUCCACUUGCCCCUCCUGGCCUCCAUUUUUUCCAGACGUUGGAGACCUUUAACGAAGCGCUGAAAUUAAAAUGAGAAGAAGACUUAUAUAGGAAAGAAAGAAGAAGAAAAAGAUUUUAACCCAAUCCCUUGAGGUUAUUUACCUCUUCAUAUUCCCGGAGCCCCUUAGAGACGGGGCUUGUUGUCACACCACCUGACGAAGACGGUUUUUAGUGAACCCAAAAAAUCUAUAUAUAUAUAUAUAUAUAUAUAAAAAUAUUACAAACCACACACCGAGCAGGAAUCCAGCACCACCAAAGACCGCUGUGAAGCAGUAUCGAUAAACUUUCGAGACAGCUAACAAACAAAAAGUUGAUUCCAACGAGAAUUAGAAACAAAAAAUUUGACUUGAGGAGAGAUAUUGAUAUGCCAAUAAAUAAUGAGAUACCUUUCUCACUCACGGAUGAAAAAUCACGACACUGCAGCCUCCCCUUGCGGCAAGACUGCAUAAUUUAUUCAUUCAACCUCAGUGAACAGAGACAAAAGCAAAAUAAAUAUCAAACACACCCAGAGACAAAGAUCUCUCUGGAUUACCUUAGCCAAGGUGUUUCCCAGGAACGGCAACAUCUUCUUUUGUCCUCGUCGAAUUGGAGAGCCUAGGGUUUUCAAGAUUAGGGAUCUUAGUUCCAAAUUUAUUAUUAAAAAGUGUUACUUCCCUGCUACACACGGCUCAAAUCUAUUAGGAUUUUUUUUAAAUAUUAUUGGACAAAAACACAUAGGCAAUAAUUAGUGCUGGGUUUGCGGGUCAACCCGCCCCGACCCGCUGCAGAUUGAAUCAUUUUUUUGAUUCAAAAAAUCGACCCGCAUAACUCACAAACAAAAAAAUUUCUACCCGCAAAAACCCGCGGGUAACCCGCUUAACCCGCGGGUAAUAUUAAUUAUAUUAAUUAUAUUAAAAAUAAUUAUUUUAAUUAAAAAUAAUUAUUAUAUAGUUAAAAAAUAUUAUUUUUAAAAAAUUAUAUUAAAAAUUCAUUUCUCACUUUAAAUCUCUCUUGGGCCAUUUGGGCCUAUUAAAAAAUCAGAUUCAAUUCCCACUUUUUUUUUUCCUUUGGGCCAUUGGGUCCAAGUUAAAAUAAUUUUUUUUCAACUAUUCUUAAUUAUUAUUUUUUUCUUUUCUUAAUAUAAUUUAAGCAUUCAUAAAAAUAAUUGAAUUUUUUUAUUGAAAAGUAUAAAUCUUUAUUAAAAGUAUAUAAUUUUUUAAUUAAAAUAUUAACCCCAUAAUAAAAUUAAUUUAUCAGAGUUAUACCAACUUAAUUCAUUAAAAAAAUAAAGUUUAAUUUUUUUUAACAUAAAUAGUCAUUUAAAAUGAAAUACGAUAAAUAAAGAUAAAAAAUUUAAUUCUUUUAUAAAAUAAAGCACAAAUAUAUGAAAAUGUGACAUUUACUAAAUAUUUGUCAAUUGAAAAAAAAAACAAAAAUAAACCUGCGCUUUGAAAGCGCGGGUCAAAAUCUAGUAGAGUAUUACAAUAACAACAAUAUAAAGAGUUUUACCAAAAGAACAAAAAAUAUAAAGAGUAUUAUGAUGGUUGAGCAGAGCUGCAGGUCCUUGUCAUCUUCUUUCAUGUUUGUUCUCUCCAUUUAUAGGAAAUAUGUCAUAGAAUGUACUUAAAAUAAAAUUGAGUAAAACAGAGAAAAUUUGAUAUCUAGAUUUGUAUUAAUAAGCCAUAGAAAACGUUAUAUUGAUUAUGAUUGUACAUGGAUAAACGUAAUGUAUGUAAACGUAAAUUUUAUAUCAUUGCUGUAGGAAAAAAACCGUAAGAUUUAUAACAAUGAAACACUUACUUCUUCCUUUUUGAUAAUGUGAUGUAGCUCCUUAUUUUGUAAUUCAACCACAAAUGAAAAGUAAAUAUAUAAUUUUUUUUUCUUCGGGAAGCACCAUGGUAUAAAUUUUGUUUGUCAGAUAUAUAACGUAGAAAAGAAAGCAGAGUAGGUUUGCAACAUAUAUAUAUAGGAUGGAGAUGAAGAAGAAAAAAAAACAGUUUCAAAACACCAAACUAACACAAGACCAGAAGCAAGCCACUAUUAAAUUAGUACGAGAGUGCGGAAAAAACACCAAACAAGGCAACACAAAAGACAAUCAAUUGUCGCCUAGACAUUAUCAUCCAGUUCCUGCCAUUCAUGAAAUAAAACAAAUGUGGUUUGAACAUAUGAUUUAUUUAAUAAAAUGUAUCAAACUUGAAUUACCUUUUCAUUACGGGCACGUCAAGACGCUUCUUCUCAUCAUCAAAAAAUCUGUGUACUCUAUACCAAUCCUCUCUUCUCUUUAAAAGAUCUGAAAGAUACAUUCAUUGGAAACAGGAAAGAAAAAUAGUUACCUUCUAGAGAAUUAGUGUUGGAAACAUCUAUAAAAUUAAUUCAAAAAACCAUACUUAUGGAAGCUUUGACGAACCAUCCACCAAAGAACGCUAAACCAAGAACUAAUCCGUCCUGCUCCUCCCAAGCAUGCUUGACCCUCGUGGACAUGGGGGAAGAGGCGAUGGAUGAGAUCCCUUUCCGACAAUACUGCAUAUCUCGACGAAACAGACAAGACUACAAUCACGAAUACAGAGAAAUCGAGAGGGAGAGAUCCGGAAUAAAAUAUGAUUCUUAGCUUAACCUUGGCCAAAAUCAUUUGCGCGUGCUUCAUCAUCAUCUUUUGUUCCGCUGAGUGCUUCCUUUGGGUGUAAAAUUAGGGCUUCUGCUUUCCUUUGUUAGUUUAUUUACUUGUGGCCCAAAUCAAAGCACUACUCGUGUUUCCUUGAAUGAUUUGAAUCAAUUUUUGUAAUAAAUAUAUCUUCUAUGUAUUUUAUAAUUCUACAAAUUGAUCAUGUUUUUUUUUUAAGAAAAAAAUCUCUGUUUUCUUAUCAUAUUAUUUUCAAAAAAAAAUUAUAUUGCUAAUUUGUUUUCAUAAGGUAAUGAAAAUUGAAUCUUGAGGGUGGUAAGUUCAUUUUCCACAGAACAGUUCUCCUCUAGCCCCAACCCGAAAAUGCUAUAUCAUAUCGCUCUUUAGAUUCUCAUAUACCGCAGGUCAUCCGUGAGACCAACUCAUGAUUGGCCGAUAAAGCAGAAGCUCUUCACUUUGGAUGUUAUGUACUUUCCCGACAAACCGAAUCCUGAUAACUGUCCUCAAGAUGUGUAUGGCUCUCUUGUUGAUGCUGUAGGACAUGUUUCAGACAUGUCUAAUAAGUCUUCCAAGUUAUAUUUGGUUCAACGUACAACAUGUGGAUCGUCUUGGAGAAAAUAGUGAGUUUCAUGCAUAUCCAUACGUAGAAGGUGUUGUUGGUCUUAGUGAACCAAUAAUAUCUACAAUCGGUGGCAAAGAAGAUUUCCCAAGAAACGAACUCUCGUUAAGUCUUGCCACAGAUGUUUCUGAUGAGUGCUCGGAGACAAGUCUUUGUGCUGCUUAAAUCUACUAGAGGAACCUCAGAGCAAGCUUCUUCCAGCAGCAAACACGUUUCUAAUAACGUCUCUCAAGUGAUAUUUGGCUCAAAGUACCUUCACUCCGUUCAAGAAAUACUAUCUCAUUUCGCCACAUACUCCCUC
Molecule: long non-coding RNA, 14799 nt
Filed under: Brassica rapa (field mustard)
Lineage: Eukaryota; Viridiplantae; Streptophyta; Magnoliopsida; Brassicales; Brassicaceae
Description: long non-coding RNA (BRAP_LNC000061)
Source: RNAcentral